GCUUGUCUCAAAGAUUAAGCCAUGCAUGUCUAAGUAUAAGCAACUUUGUACUGUGAAACUGCGAAUGGCUCAUUAAAUCAGUUAUAGUUUAUUUGAUGGUUUUUGCUACAUGGAUAACUGUGGUAAUUCUAGAGCUAAUACAUGCAUUCAAGCCCCGACUUCUGGAAGGGGUGUAUUUAUUAGAUAAAAAUCAACUUUGUUGGUGAAUCAUAAUAACUUCUCGGACCGCAUGGCCUCGUGCUGGCGGUGCUUCAUUCAAAUAUCUGCCCUAUCAACUGUCGAUGGUAGGAUAGAGGCCUACCAUGGUUGCAACGGGUAACGGGGAAUAAGGGUUCGAUUCCGGAGAGGGAGCCUGAGAAACGGCUACCACAUCCAAGGAAGGCAGCAGGC
Molecule: ribosomal RNA, 390 nt
Filed under: uncultured fungus
Lineage: Eukaryota; Fungi
Description: SSU rRNA
Rfam family: Eukaryotic small subunit ribosomal RNA
Source: RNAcentral